GAUGAACGCUGGCGGCGUGCCUAAUACAUGCAAGUCGAGCGAACGGACGAGAAGCUUGCUUCUCUGAUGUUAGCGGCGGACGGGUGAGUAACACGUGGAUAACCUACCUAUAAGACUGGGAUAACUUCGGGAAACCGGAGCUAAUACCGGAUAAUAUUUUGAACCGCAUGGUUCAAAAGUGAAAGACGGUCUUGCUGUCACUUAUAGAUGGAUCCGCGCUGCAUUAGCUAGUUGGUAAGGUAACGGCUUACCAAGGCAACGAUGCAUAGCAGACCUGAGAGGGUGAUCGGCCACACUGGAACUGAGACACGGUCCAGACUCCUACGGGAGGCCACAGUAGGGAAUCUUCCGCAAUGGGCGAAAGCCUGACGGAGCAACGCCGCGUGAGUGAUGAAGGUCUUCGAAUCGUAAAACUCUGUUAUUAGGGAAGAACAUAUGUGUAAGUAACUGUGCACAUCUUGACGGUACCUAAUCAGAAAGCCACGGCUAACUACGUG
RNAcentral lists this ribosomal RNA (497 nucleotides) under uncultured bacterium. Its description in RNAcentral is "partial 16S ribosomal RNA". It matches the Rfam family "Bacterial small subunit ribosomal RNA", at positions 28 to 507 of the family's 1533-position model. The record is from RNAcentral.